This 467-nucleotide ribosomal RNA is filed under the name uncultured bacterium. Its description in RNAcentral is "partial 16S ribosomal RNA". It matches the Rfam family "Bacterial small subunit ribosomal RNA", at positions 28 to 507 of the family's 1533-position model. The record is from RNAcentral.
GACGAACGCUGGCGGCGUGCUUAACACAUGCAAGUCGAACGGAAAGGCUCCAGCUUGCUGGAGUACUCGAGUGGCGAACGGGUGAGUAACACGUGGGUAACCUGCCCUGCACUCUGGGAUAAGCCUGGGAAACUGGGUCUAAUACUGGAUAUGACCUUUCUCCGUAUGGGGUUUGGUGGAAAGUUUUUCGGUGUAGGAUGAGCCCGCGGCCUAUCAGCUUGUUGGUGGGGUGAUGGCCUACCAAGGCGACGGCGGGUAGCCGGCCUGAGAGGGUGAUCGGCCACCUUGGGACUGAGAUACGGCCCAGACUCCUAUGGGAGGCAGCAGUGGGGAAUAUUGCACAAUGGGCGGAAGCCUGAUGCAGCGACGCCGCGUGAGGGAUGACGGCCUUCGGGUUGUAAACCUCUUUCAGCAGGGACGAAGCGUAAGUGACGGUACCUGCAGAAGAAGCACCGGCUAACUACGUG